AGUCACUGACAUUAGAUACCCCCGUAGUCCAGGGUGUAAACGCCGCAGACUUGGUGUUGGAGGCCCUUUGGGGGCAUUCAGUGCCGGAGAGAAGUUGUUAAGUCUGCUACUUGGGGAGUACGUCCGCAAGGAUGAAACUUAAAGGAAUUGGCGGGGGAGCACCGCAACGGGAGGAGCGUGCGGUUUAAUUGGAUUCAACACCGUAAAACUCACCAGGGAAGACUGUUACAUGAAGGCCGAGAUGAAGACUCUGCUAGAUUUUCAG
RNAcentral lists this ribosomal RNA (265 nucleotides) under uncultured archaeon. RNAcentral describes it as "partial 16S ribosomal RNA". It matches the Rfam family "Archaeal small subunit ribosomal RNA", at positions 718 to 982 of the family's 1478-position model. The record is from RNAcentral.